Molecule: ribosomal RNA, 116 nt
Organism: Dipodomys ordii (Ord's kangaroo rat)
Lineage: Eukaryota; Metazoa; Chordata; Mammalia; Rodentia; Heteromyidae
Source: Ensembl
GUCUACGGCCAUACCACCCUGAACGCGCCCGAUCUCGUCUGAUCUCGGAAGCUACACAGGGUUGGCCUGGUUAGUACUUGGAUGGGAGAAAUACAGUACUCAAGACGCUACAGUUU